This 905-nucleotide long non-coding RNA is filed under the name Marmota monax (woodchuck). The record is from RNAcentral. Lineage: Eukaryota; Metazoa; Chordata; Mammalia; Rodentia; Sciuridae.
ACAGUAUUAAGCAAGCAGUUUUGGAGUCCCAGAGACCCUGGGAGGAUUCAGACUUAAGGGCCUUACUGCUUUCCUCCCUGCCACUAAAAACCCACAGCAAAAGAGAAUCGCACACUCUUCUUGUUGCCUUUUUGCUCCGUAGACUAAAGGAAUCUCCUGGGGAUGAGGGAUAUCUACGGGUUGUAAGGCAUAUAGUGCUUUCUAUCAGAGAGACUACUGGAAGAGUUGAUUCUAAAAAUGCCUCCCUCUAGCAGCUUAAAGAGAACACAGCACAUUCUAAACAUUGGAGCAGUAAUGGGAAAUUUUAAAACAGACCAGUGAAAGUUCCUAUGCACAUGAGGGGAACCUGGGCACCUUUCACUGAUCAUCCCAUGUCUUUCUUAGUCCUACAACCUGAAUUGCUAGCCUUUCUGACCGGUGAAGGAAGGGGAGCAUCCAGGAGGGAAUGGAUGCGGGUUUGGGAGUGUUGUGCAGCCCACAUGGAGGCAAAUGUGAUUGGGGCUUUCCCUCAGUGCCUUUCAUCUACCAAUCACCCCAGAUACCCCUUAGGGCUGUCGGGAGGGGGUUCAAGAGAAAGGAACCUUAGGAAUACAUCUGAGUGUAGCCCAGACCAGAAUUCUGCAGUUGUUCCAAACUCCUUCCUCCACCUCCACGCAUCCCAGGCAGAUCGGGAUUAGAGACACUGUGUACUCAGGUCAAUUGCUCUCCGGGCCCAGACAGAAAAGUGGGAAGUAGUUUUGGCAGAACCCAACAUGCCUGCUCUGUAUGGAGAGCUGCCUAGGCCUGGAAACCUCUCACCUGAAUCUUGAAGAGUGGUGGCUGCACUUACUGCUUUUUGUUGGGAAAACAUAUAACGGCGGCAGCACCCCAGAAAAAAAACCCCAUCAUGGCAUCUAAUGACCCUC